RNAcentral lists this small RNA (29 nucleotides) under Bombyx mori (domestic silkworm). RNAcentral's name for it is "ovarian small RNA-27462". The record is from RNAcentral. Lineage: Eukaryota; Metazoa; Arthropoda; Insecta; Lepidoptera; Bombycidae.
UCCGAGAGGGCCCUCACCCGAAGUAUUGC